This 425-nucleotide ribosomal RNA is filed under the name uncultured bacterium. RNAcentral's name for it is "partial 16S ribosomal RNA". It matches the Rfam family "Bacterial small subunit ribosomal RNA", at positions 354 to 796 of the family's 1533-position model. The record is from RNAcentral.
GUGGGGAAUCUUGCGCAAUGGGCGAAAGCCUGACGCAGCCAUGCCGCGUGAAUGAUGAAGGUCUUAGGAUUGUAAAAUUCUUUCACCGGGGACGAUAAUGACGGUACCCGGAGAAGAAGCCCCGGCUAACUUCGUGCCAGCAGCCGCGGUAAUACGAAGGGGGCUAGCGUUACUCGGAAUUACUGGGCGUAAAGGGCGCGUAGGCGGACAGUUUAGUCAGAGGUGAAAGCCCAGGGCUCAACCUUGGAAUUGCCUUUGAUACUGGCUGUCUUGAGUACGGGAGAGGUGAGUGGAACUCCGAGUGUAGAGGUGAAAUUCGUAGAUAUUCGGAAGAACACCAGUGGCGAAGGCGACUCACUGGCCCGUUACUGACGCUGAGGCGCGAAAGCGUGGGGAGCAAACAGGAUUAGAAACCCUGGUAGUCC